CGGAACGGGUGAGUAAUACAUCGGAACGUGCCCUGUAUGGGGGAGUAACUAGUCGAAAGAUUAGCUAAUACCGCAUACGACCUGAGGGUGAAAGUGGGGGACCGCAAGGCCUCAUGCUAUAGGAGCGGCCGAUGUCUGAUUAGCUAGUUGGUGGGGUAAAGGCCUACCAAGGCGACGAUCAGUAGCUGGUCUGAGAGGACGAUCAGCCACACUGGGACUGAGACACGGCCCAGACUCCUACGGGAGGCAGCAGUA
Molecule: ribosomal RNA, 255 nt
Filed under: uncultured Ralstonia sp.
Lineage: Bacteria; Pseudomonadati; Pseudomonadota; Betaproteobacteria; Burkholderiales; Burkholderiaceae
Description: partial 16S ribosomal RNA
Rfam family: Bacterial small subunit ribosomal RNA
Source: RNAcentral